RNAcentral lists this transfer RNA (73 nucleotides) under Stegodyphus mimosarum. It matches the Rfam family "tRNA". From Rfam's summary of the family: Transfer RNA (tRNA) molecules are approximately 80 nucleotides in length. The record is from Rfam by way of RNAcentral. Lineage: Eukaryota; Metazoa; Arthropoda; Arachnida; Araneae; Eresidae.
GCCUUCAUGGUGUAAUGAUCAGCACACUCGGCGCGUAAUCAAAAGUUCCGAGGUUCGAGUCCUGGCGAGGGCA